GAUGAAGAACGCAGCGAACUGCGAUAAGUAAUGUGAAUUGCAGAAUUCAGUGAAUCAUCGAGUCUUUGAACGCACGUUGCGCCCCCUGGCAUUCCGGGGGGCAUGCCUGUCCGAGCGUCAUUGCUGCCCUUCAAGCCCGGCUUGUGUGUUGGGUCGUCGUCCCCCCCGGGGGACGGGCCCGAAAGGCAGCGGCGGCACCGCGUCCGGUCCUCGAGCGUAUGGGGCUUUGUCACCCGCUCGAUUAGGGCCGGCCGGGCGCCAGCCGGCGUCUCCAACCUUCUAUUUUACCAGGUUGACCUCGGAUCAGGUAGGGAUACCCGCUGAACUUAAGCAUAUCAAUAAGCGGAGGA
Molecule: unclassified non-coding RNA, 350 nt
Filed under: soil metagenome
Description: partial contains 5.8S ribosomal RNA, internal transcribed spacer 2, and large subunit ribosomal RNA
Rfam family: 5.8S ribosomal RNA (bases 1-120)
Source: RNAcentral